UACGUAGGGGGCUAGCGUUGCUCGGAAUCACUGGGCGUAAAGGGUGCGUAGGCGGCCGUGUAAGUCUGGCGUGAAAGCCCCGGGCUCAGCCCGGGAAGUGCGCUCGAAACUGCACGGCUCGAGUGCCGGAGGGGAGAGUGGAAUUCCUGGUGUAGCGGUGAAAUGCGUAGAUAUCAGGAGGAAUACCGGUGGCGAAAGCGACUCUCUGGACGGUAACUGACGCUGAGGCACGAAAGCGUGGGGAGCAAACAGG
This 253-nucleotide ribosomal RNA is filed under the name uncultured bacterium. RNAcentral's name for it is "partial 16S ribosomal RNA". It matches the Rfam family "Bacterial small subunit ribosomal RNA", at positions 524 to 776 of the family's 1533-position model. The record is from RNAcentral.